Molecule: transfer RNA, 85 nt
Filed under: Felis catus (domestic cat)
Lineage: Eukaryota; Metazoa; Chordata; Mammalia; Carnivora; Felidae
Rfam family: tRNA
About the family: Transfer RNA (tRNA) molecules are approximately 80 nucleotides in length. Their secondary structure includes four short double-helical elements and three loops (D, anti-codon, and T loops). Further hydrogen bonds mediate the characteristic L-shaped molecular structure. tRNAs have two regions of fundamental functional importance: the anti-codon, which is responsible for specific mRNA codon recognition, and the 3' end, to which the tRNAs corresponding amino acid is attached (by aminoacyl-tRNA synthetases). tRNAs cope with the degeneracy of the genetic code in two manners: having more than one tRNA (with a specific anti-codon) for a particular amino acid; and 'wobble' base-pairing, i.e. permitting non-standard base-pairing at the 3rd anti-codon position.
Source: Rfam by way of RNAcentral
GCCUGGGUGGCUCAGUCGGUUGAGCAUCCGACUUUGGCUCAGUUCAUGGUCUCACGGUUCGUGGGUUCAAGCCCCGCAUCAGGCU